This 253-nucleotide ribosomal RNA is filed under the name uncultured bacterium. RNAcentral describes it as "partial 16S ribosomal RNA". It matches the Rfam family "Bacterial small subunit ribosomal RNA", at positions 524 to 776 of the family's 1533-position model. The record is from RNAcentral.
UACAGAGGUCUCAAGCGUUGUUCGGAUUCAUUGGGCGUAAAGGGUGCGUAGGUGGCGCCGUAAGUGGGGUGUGAAAUCUCGGGGCUUAACUCCGAAACUGCAUUCCAUACUGCGGUGCUUGAGGACUGGAGAGGAGACUGGAAUUUACGGUGUAGCAGUGAAAUGCGUAGAGAUCGUAAGGAAGACCAGUGGCGAAGGCGGCUCUCUGGCCUGCACCUGACGCUGAGGCGCGAAAGCGUGGGGAGCAAACAGG